This 308-nucleotide long non-coding RNA is filed under the name Hordeum vulgare. RNAcentral's name for it is "long non-coding RNA (HVUL_LNC004092)". Lineage: Eukaryota; Viridiplantae; Streptophyta; Magnoliopsida; Poales; Poaceae. The record is from RNAcentral.
AGGAAAAGCUGAGCGACGGGAUCCGAUCUGGAGCUGGGCCUGCAGCGCUGGUGUCUCACGGGAACGAGCAGGGCCUGCAGCGCUUCUAUCCCACGGGAACCAGCAGCGGUGGGAGACGUCGGGAGAAGGAGGCAGGCGCUGGAACGAGGUGACGAGGAGGAGCCGCUGCCUGACGGGAACGAGCCAGGAGAACGGCGGCGUGGAGCGGAUCAACAGCACGAGUUGCGGCGUGCAAAAGUUAACCUAGCUCUAAUACCAUGUUAGGAAAGCAACUUGUAUUCCCAUGAGGCCAUAGGCCGAUAUAUANN